CGAAAUGAAAGCCGGACAGGAAAAGAGGCCUCGUGAAAGUGAUGUUCCCGGGACCUCAGCUGAUUGGCCCAAAUGGCCCAAACGCCAACGCACGCCAGGCUCCGCGCCCGGCGUACAACAAUUACAAAAGCUUACAUGUUCUCUGUGAAGCAAAAUAAAAAUGACGCAAUUACGACGGCAGUUGUUAGACACGAUGACCACGCUGCCCUGGAAAACACCGUCCUCCGUAACCGGGACGACUUACCACACGGCUGUACAUGCUCGUCCGGCCGCAAUAACCAACAACUGACAACCAACGCCAAUCAACCAACAACUAUAUAUUGCGGAGCAUCAAUACAGUGCAACCGUUAUACAUAACGGCAACAUCGCCAAAGCUGCUGGUACUGCUCUAACAGGCACGAAGGCAGAUGCAUCUCGCGCAAGGCCUUGCGGCCACCUGCCUCACCUACCCACUUCCCAAUCCCUAAACAUCAAACCUGGCCAAAGCGGCUUCUUAUACCCAAAACUGGCACUAUUAGUAUUACGUCGACCAAUCCUCCGGUCGACUGAAUGCCGUUUGAUGCAUCUUCGCGGCAUUUCCACGCCUAAAGGCCUCUUCUUGCUUCAACUGCUCCGGUCACCUCCGUUUCACUCACAACAUGCCGCGGCGACAGCCGGGUACGCGGUCCCUUUGGCAUCAGGCCCCCGAGCUGCUGCUCCCGCUCCCGCUCUCCAGCAGCGCAUGUACAGCAUGUACGGCACGCACUCCCGCCGUACACGCAGUGGUCUGGUCUGUGCCCGUCGUCGUGUCAGCCGAACAUGUGGUCCCAGUCCGGUCCGCGGCCCGGCGGCGGCCGACCUAUGUCGUUGAAGCCUUCGCCGCGCUGCGCCCUGUGGGUUUUUGGAAUUGGAUUUUUGGAAUUGGGUUUUUGUGGAAAUGAAGUGGGACUGAAUCAUAUGGCUGGAAAAGGGCCAACCGCCGCGACAUCGUCACCCGCACCAGCUGUGCUGCAUCACCGGCGUUGGAGUCCCAAGCGACGAUGCAACGGUCCAUCAUGGCCCCUGGGUGGGAACGGUAUUCAAAAUGAAUCCAGGAUGGCAGCUGGACGAGGUAGGUGGAUGGGCACGGGGCUGAAGAGGCAGUGACGGUGGCGCAGCUGCGGGGGAGCCGUUUUACAGCGCCGGCGUGCGUCCAUAUUAAUCUAUCGACCAAUCUCGAAAGACGGGCGAAGCGGGAAAACACUCGCCGGCCAUUUCUUUCCCCCCCCACACUCUCCUCGUCCCUGUAAUGCCUUUUGCCUAGAAUGUGGAGGACCACAUCUUGCGCGAUUGCUUACAGCUUCAUCGGGAAAGGAAACGAACGGAAAAUUGCCAACUUUCUCCCUUUUUCGUCAAAGGGGUUUCCCGAGCGCGUUCUUCGUUUAAUCUCGGGCAUUAUUGCGUAGAGAUUACAUGGUACAAGUACAUGGUACGAGAGCCGGAUCAAAAUUCGUACGGUGGCCAGUGUACUACAGUUUAGUACGCCGGGUAGCAAAAGCGCCGCAGACGCAGCGGCAGCACAGACACCUUCCGCUCCGAAACCGGACGGAGGUCCGCGGGGGGCUCUCGGGCGCCGACUGAUGAGGCAGACGAGGUGUGGGGCUGAAGCGGCGGGUGGAUGAGACGGCGAUGGAGAGAGAAUGGAACGGCGGCCGAGGAGGGAUCCCCACCGCCAGAGCAACAGCGGGCAGUAGUGCAUGUUCCCCACGGUGCACGUACCCCGCCGCCGCCAUGACAGUGGUGGUGGUAGUAGUGGCAGUGACGGUGAAGAUGGUGAUGGUGAGAAAAAAAUGUAGUGGUCGUUGUUGGUGUCAAUGACGAACGGUGGUGGUGGCGGUACGAAGAGGAAGCGGUGCCGAAAUGAAGAUAAUACGACGACGACGACGGCGGCGGCGGCGGCGGGGGCGGGGGGGGGGGGGGGUCCCGGGGAAGCGACGCGGGGGAGAAGGCGGCAGGGACGCACGCGGUGACUUCGCCUCCGCGCGGGGGAGUUGCACGUGCGUGCCCGUACCCCGUACAAUGCACACACAUAAACACUUUCGUCCGCCUCGCGGCGGAGUUCAUGAAGACGUACAGACGCCAUCAAGACGUACAGACGUCAUCAAGACGUGCAGACGUCAUCAAGACGUACAGACGCCAUCCAGACGUACAGACGCCAUCCAGACGUACAGACGCCAUCCAGACGUACAGACGCCAUCCAGACGUACAGACGCCAUCCAGACGUACAGACGCCAUCCAGACGUACAGACGCCAUCCAGACGUACAGACGCCAUCCAGACGUACAGACGCCAUCCAGACGUACAGACGCCAUCCAGACGUACAGACGCCAUCAAGACGUGCAGACGCCAUCCAGACGUGCAGACGCCAUCCAGACGUACAGACGCCAUCAAGACGUACAGACGCCAUCAAGACGUACAGACGCCAUCAAGACGUACAGACGCCAUCAAGACGUACAGACGCCAUCAAGACGUACAGACGCCAUCAAGACGUACAGACGCCAUCAAGACGUACAGACGCCAUCAAGACGUACAGACGUCAUCAAGACGUACAGACGCCAUCAAGACGUACAGACGGAGUUCCGCAUCGGUGUCGUGAAGACUCACCUCGAGACCUCCCACGGCAUCCCCCCCUCAACACCACACCACACAACCUCACAUCCACACCGCAAAUGCCCCUCGCACACCGCCCACCACCGCGCACCUGCCCGCCCUCGUGUAGUCGUCCGGACUCCAGCCUUGCAGUCCCUCGGGGGCUAUGGGGUCCCACCUCAUACCCGGCACCGCGGGCCCCCCUCCCAUACCGGACGAGAAGCCAGGACUGCCGGCUGGAGGGUGACGCAGGCGGUCUGGCAAAGACGGGUGGCCGCAGUACAAGGAGUGAAGGGGAGAGGUUCGGGGGCUGCAAGCGGUUAUGGUUGUUAGCGUGUACGGCACGUGGGUAUAAUGUGCCGUACACAUACGGACACCACGCAAUUCGGGUCAGGUGAUGGCCAGACGUGGACGUGCUGUCCCUGCACCGCUUCAACGUUUACCGCGGAUACAUACAUACAUACGGAUACAUGCAUACAUCUAUACAUACAUAGAUAGAUAGAUAGAUAGACACAUAGAUAUAUGUAUUCAUAAAUAGACACACAGAUACAUGCACGUAUAUCCAUCACCCUAUAGCCAAACAACGCUGGGGCUUAUGAGCGCAGCAAACCGUGACUCUUGACACCAUGACAUACAGACACACACACAUACGACACGUGCGUGCCACAACCCAACCUUUACAUCGCUGUCUGCCCCCUGCCUGCCCCGCAUCUCAC
RNAcentral lists this long non-coding RNA (3322 nucleotides) under Volvox carteri. Its description in RNAcentral is "long non-coding RNA (VCAR_LNC001295)". Lineage: Eukaryota; Viridiplantae; Chlorophyta; Chlorophyceae; Chlamydomonadales; Volvocaceae. The record is from RNAcentral.